Molecule: ribosomal RNA, 432 nt
Filed under: uncultured bacterium
Lineage: Bacteria
Description: bacterial SSU rRNA
Rfam family: Bacterial small subunit ribosomal RNA
Source: RNAcentral
AACGACGCUGGCGGCAGGCCUAACACAUGCAAGUCGAACGCCCCGCAAGGGGAGUGGCAGACGGGUGAGUAACACGUGGGAACCUUCCCAACAGUACGGAAUAGCCCAGGGAAACUUGGAGUAAUACCGUAUAUUCCCGAGAGGGGAAAGAUUUAUCGCUGUUGGAUGGGCCCGCGUCGGAUUAGCUAGUUGGUGAGGUAAGGGCUCACCAAGGCGACGAUGGAUAGCUGGUCUGAGAGGACGAUCAGCCACGCUGGGACUGCGACAUGGUCCAGACUCCUACGGGAGUUAGCAUCCGGGAAUCUUGCACAAUGGGCGCAAGCCUGAUGCAGCGACGCCGCGUGGGUGAUGAAGGUCUGCGGAUCGUAAAGCCCUGUCAGGAGGGAAGAAGUUCUGACUGUACCUCCAAAGGAAGCCCCGGCUAACUACGUG